This 255-nucleotide ribosomal RNA is filed under the name uncultured bacterium. Its description in RNAcentral is "partial 16S ribosomal RNA". It matches the Rfam family "Bacterial small subunit ribosomal RNA", at positions 99 to 354 of the family's 1533-position model. The record is from RNAcentral.
CGGACGGGUGAGUAACGCGUGGGUAACCUGCCUCAUACAGGGGGAUAACAGUUAGAAAUGACUGCUAAUACCGCAUAAGCGCACGAGAUCGCAUGAUAAAGUGUGAAAAACUCCGGUGGUAUGAGAUGGACCCGCGUCUGAUUAGCUGGUUGGCGGGGUAACGGCCCACCAAGGCGACGAUCAGUAGCCGACCUGAGAGGGUGACCGGCCACAUUGGGACUGAGACACGGCCCAAACUCCUACGGAAGGCAGCAG